Cornus florida is the source of this 2914-nucleotide RNA transcript. It is a transcript of the gene named B3 domain-containing transcription factor VRN1-like, with no coding region annotated. The transcript has 9 exons. The record is from RefSeq and is a predicted model, not a curated record. NCBI's taxonomy places the organism in Eukaryota, Viridiplantae, Streptophyta, Magnoliopsida, Cornales, Cornaceae.
GGUUAUUUAAUCAUGAAAGUACUGGUAGAUUAUAAUUGUGUGCAAGGAGUAACAGUGCAAUGAAAAAUGAAAGGAUAAAGAGGUACAGUAAUGGAACCACACAAGCGGAAGCGGAAAGUGAAACCCAACGGAAGCGAUUGCCGCCGCUCAAAAUCUCCGGUGAGGGCAUCGUCAAAAUUCUUCAAGAUAAUAUUACCCUCCGUUAUUAAUGAGAAGAAGCUGAGGAUCCCUAAAAAGUUUGUCAGGAAAUAUGGUGAUGAACUCUCUGCUGUUGCCAUGCUCACUGUUCCCACUGGCCACGUUUCACAUGUGGGAUUAGAGAAGGCUGACAAGAUGCUUUGGUUUUGUGAUGGUUGGCAACAAUUUAUGGAACGUCACUCAGUCAGUUGUGGGUACUUUUUAGUCUUUAAAUAUAAAGGAAAAUCAAGCUUUGAUGUUCUUAUCUUUGAUUUGACUGCCACCGAGAUCCAGUAUUCAUGCACUAUUCGCAGUAGUUCUGAAGAAAACAAUAAUGGAAAAUUAUGUCAAUUAUCUGAUGAGGAAGAAAUCGAAGAUGAUGACUCUGUUGAAAUCUUGGGGUCCUUAGGUUUUGUUGGAUCUUCAUCUAAACUUAUUCUGGGACUCGACAAAAAGGGUAAAAGUACAGCUUUGCUGGAGAGCUCGAAACCCACUCCUCGAUGUCUAACAAGAACCAAAAGCUAUAAAAAAGAUCAGGAGCAAACAAUUGAAUUAGUGAAUUGGCAUGGAGCGUGUGGAAGAAAACUAAGCAGAAGCGAAACGUCAAACUGGCAUGAUUCUUUAUUGGAAAAAUCCAAGAGAAAGAACAAGUUUGUCACUAAGAAUAUUCAGAAUUUACAAACAUCGGCUCCAACAGUUCGUGAUAGGGGUUUUGAUCAGUUGAAUGAGAGUGAACUUAAGGACAAAACAUACAGAAUUGAUGUAGAGGAACAGCAUCCGACAAAAAUUGCAAAUAGUUCAGAUGUGGCGACUCAAAGAAAUAGAGAUACAAGUCAUCAGACCACAAAUCGAAGAAUUGUUUCUAGGGGAUCAGUGCUAAACGAAGCAAGAGAGAGGGCAACUAAUGCUGCAAGAAUGUUUAAGCCUGAAAAUCCUUUCCAUAUGGUUAUAUUGCGUCCAUAUAAUGUAAACCACCACUUUUACCUGAAUAUACCAUUUGAAUUUGCCAUGAAGAUGAAGUCUUUGCUUGGUGUUUCAGAUAUUGUCAAGCUUCAGGUUUCUGAUGGAAGAGAGUGGCAUGUCCAUUACAUUCAUAAAAGAAGGCGGCCAGUCGCAAGAUUAUGCAAAGGUUGGAGAACCUUUGCAAAGGAAAAUAAUUUGAUGGAAGGAGAUAUUUGUGUUUUUGAGCUGAUCAAGGUUAUGGAUUUAGUGCUAAAAGUGUCCAUAUUUCGCAAUGCGGAGUAUGCAGGGCAACCAAACCAACCUCAUCAGUUUGAUGAAAGCAUAUAUUCAAAGACUACAAAUCAAAGAACUGUUUCUAGGGGAACAUUGAUAAACCAAGCAAGAGAGAGGGCAAUUAAUGCUGCAAGAAUGUUUAAGUCUGAAAAUCCUUUCCAUAUGGUUAUAUUGCGUCCAUAUAAUGUAAACAAUCAGUUUUCCUUGAAAAUACCAUCAGAAUUUGCCAUGAAAAUCAAGUAUUUGCUUGGUGUUUCAGAUAUUGUUAAGCUUCAGGUUUCUGAUGGAAGAGAGUGGCGUGUCCGUUGCAUUCAUGAUAGAGAAGGUCGACAGGCAAAAUUAAGCAAGGGUUGGAGAACUUUUGCAAAGGAAAAUAAUUUGGUGGAAGGAGAUGUUUGUGUCUUUGAGCUGAUCAAGGUUCUGAAGGAUCUUGUUAUACAAGUUUCCAUAUUUCGCGCUGUGGAGUAUGCAGGGCAAGUAACCCAACCUCUGGAUUACAGUCAGGCAAAUUAGUAUUUUGGUGGUGUUAAGGAAAAGUCACUGUUUGAACUGGAAGGGGGUCACUUCUCCUAAAGUUGAGAGUGGUUUUUGGAUUAUGGACAAUUCAAAAGAUUGUCUGUGGGUGGCCUGGUUUCAAAGGAGGCAUCCUAACUGUUCGAGGUAUUGGAAAUAUAUGCUGGAGUUCAGACCAUUUCUUCUUCAGCAUCUCUCCUAUCAGAUUAUUCUUAGACCCUUGGUGUAAUGGACAAAAUUUAUUGCAAACGUGCUCUCGUAGUCUUUACAGAUCCUUAAUCUUCCAAAAAAAUGCUGCUGUUAGUGACCUUCUUGAUAAUGGCAGAUGGAGGAUUCGAACUUUAUCUUCUUCAAUUUCUGUCUCUCUGUUGCCUAUUCAUUCAGGUAAAGACAGAAUGGCAGUGUUGGAGAACUUCUCUUCCUGCUGUUUCCUGGUCUUCCUUGAGCUGGUGUGGUUGCAGACCGAGGACAUCUGUUACUGCUUGCAUUAUUUUCUGGAACAAGAACCUGUUCUUUUUCAACUUGCGGAAGAGAGGCUUUACUCUUACUUUGAUUUUUCAUCUUCGUUUUGGAGCUGAGGAUUGCAAUGAUCACCUGUUCUAUUGUUACUUUUAACAGUCAGUCUCAUCAGCACAGAAUUGCUAGAAGGCUAGUUGUAACUCUUCUACGGAGUAUCUGGACUGAGAGAAAUGCUGGUCUACACGGGAACAACCCUAGGGCUGCUGAAGACAUUGCAAAAUCGGCCUGGUGGGAAGUUCUGGAUAAGUUGCAAGAAUUGAGCUUCAUUUUGUCAUAUUAUGUAUACCAUCGUGGCUGUAAUUGCUUACUUCCACUUCCUUUGUUACUGGAAGUGGCAUUUUUCUGUGUCUUCUGUUUUGUAUUGAAAGGGUAUGGCUUCUCUUAUUAACCAUGUACCUCAUUGUCUGAUCUUUUAAUACAAUCAUUUCAUUUAGGGAAAAAACAAAUCAAAAUAGGGUAUCUACAGUAC